Peromyscus leucopus (white-footed mouse) is the source of this 394-nucleotide long non-coding RNA. RefSeq lists it as uncharacterized. Lineage: Eukaryota; Metazoa; Chordata; Mammalia; Rodentia; Cricetidae. The record is from RefSeq and is a predicted model, not a curated record. The transcript is spliced from 7 exons.
UACAAUUUUAAUUCUUUAGCUGUGACAGAAAUGAAGAGUCUCUACCGUCCAAUGAUGAAAGUGACGGAAGUUUAUAUCCAGAUGACUUAUCAUCAUUGAGUUAUCCAGAUUCCUUCAGUGACAUAACAUAUACGGAUGAAUCGACAUUACAAUCCCUUUAUGGAGCUGUGAGUGAUAGUACAUCCAUGUAUGAACCAUAUUCCUCAAAUGAAAUCAUGAAAGAAAGCCUUUCCCAGAAUGAGCCUGAGUCACUACGUGGUAAAGGAUCUGCCAGUGAACUCACACUCUCGAGUGAACUGAAGACCGUGUGCUCCACUGUCACUGUGUCCACCAGUGUGCUAACUGCCUCAUCUGAUGCAACGUCAGAAAUCCAGGAAGGAGACAUUGACAAAUA